This 367-nucleotide long non-coding RNA is filed under the name Olea europaea (common olive). RNAcentral describes it as "long non-coding RNA (OEUR_LNC004474)". The record is from RNAcentral. Lineage: Eukaryota; Viridiplantae; Streptophyta; Magnoliopsida; Lamiales; Oleaceae.
AAAUUCUGAUUUUACAGAUUCGGAAUGAGAAACUGUCAUCCCAGUCAAUCCAAUUGGGAUGCCCUGGACCUGACAUGUCACUUGGCAGGAGUAACAUGAAGCUCAGAAUUAGGGGUGUAGUCAAUACUCCCAAAUCAAAAGGGGAAUUGAUCUAUGGUCGAUUUCGUAACAAAUAAAUACAAAUUUCUAUUUGUACCUCGUAAAAAAAAAAGACUUUUUUGUUUUGUGGAAUUAACCUUUCUUUUGGAAAGAAAUUAUGUUCAAGUAAGCGCAAAUAUGUCAUGGUUACAGGAGUCUAUCCAUCGCGUAUAGGCUUUAAGGGCAUCGUAGCAUAACCGUCGAGGUGAAGUCGGGACCUAAAAGAUCG